GCGGCGGACGGGUGAGUAACGCGUGGACAAUCUACCCUGUAGACUGGGAUAACACCUCGAAAGGGGUGCUAAUACCGGAUAAUGUCGAGAAGCGGCAUCGCUUUUCGAAGAAAGGAGGGAAUCCGCUAUAGGAGGAGUCCGCGUCCCAUUAGCUAGUUGGUGAGGGUAACGGCCCACCAAGGCGACGAUGGGUAGCCGGCCUGAGAGGGUGAACGGCCACACUGGAACUGAGACACGGUCCAGACUCCUACGGGAGGCAGCAGUGGGGAAUAUUGUGCAAUGGGGGAAACCCUGACACAGCGACGCCGCGUGAGUGAAGAAGGCCUUCGGGUCGUAAAGCUCAAUAGUAUGGGAAGAAAGAAAUGACGGUACCAUACGAAAGCCCCGGCUAACUACGUGCCAGCAGCCGCGGUAAUAC
This 418-nucleotide ribosomal RNA is filed under the name Thermohydrogenium sp. EBWHS10_2_4. RNAcentral's name for it is "bacterial SSU rRNA". It matches the Rfam family "Bacterial small subunit ribosomal RNA", at positions 95 to 526 of the family's 1533-position model. Lineage: Bacteria; Bacillati; Bacillota; Clostridia; Eubacteriales; Syntrophomonadaceae. The record is from RNAcentral. RNAcentral also lists the same sequence under 3 other names.